GGACCGCGGCCUGGGGGCGGGGGGUGCGAUGCUUUUUGGGGGGGAUCCCCGCCGCUUUGGGGACCCUCAUCCCCUCGGGAGAAGAAGCUGAUCCCCUGGGGGGGUAACUGCCUGGGGAAGGCCCCUCUUGAGCGGGCUGUGCUGCUGUGGUGACCCUGACCCUGCCUGGGCCUGGCUCUGCCCUCACACCGGGCAGGGACAUAUCUCUGGUGAUAGACCCCAGAGCCAGGCAGGGCCUGCUUGUGCCCCCCACUCCUUCCCCAGGCUUUGCCCCUCAGCGGGCACCGCGGGGCUCUGGGUCCAGCACCAGGCAGCUGCGCGCGCGCGGGCAGCUCAACCCAAGAGCGAAAAAGCAGUUCUGUCGGUGGUGAGGAGUUGCAGCUUUGCACCUUGAUGGCAUCGUCCACCUGAGAUCUUCAAACGCGUGGUGGUCACUGACCACUUGGGCCUUGCAAGACCUUCCCAAGCUGGCUGGCAUUGCUGCAGCUUCUCGUAUUUACAGCUGAGGAAACUAAGGCAGUGGCAAGAGAGUGAACAGCGACAGGUCCCUGAGGCCAUUAGCAGCCCUGUUAGGAACAGAUCCAGGUCUCCUAGAGGUCCAUGCAACCUUCUCCUCCAGUGUCCACAGAUGUUCAGGUUUUCAGGCUGCUGCAGGCAGGUACUCAGCUUCUUCCGCAGGACUCAGCAUUUCUCCUUGUCCUUCAAAGCCAGGCAGAUUUCCCCCUCCUGAACACAUCAAGAGGGCUCCCUCAAUUCUUGGGGUUUUCCUGCUUUUAUACUGGCAGCAAAGCUUGGGGAAUGCCCAGCAAAGGUGGGAGCAUCUUUCACUAAACCACCAGCCUCAUGUCCUGUGGGAGCUGCUGCUUUUCUCCAGGCGUGUCUCAGCAAUUCCUUCCAGGUCCCUUUCCUGCCGGGUCCAGCCUUGCUUCGUGUGGGAAAGCCGAUAAAAUCCCAAGCCCGGGUACUGCGCCACCGAGACUUGGCCCUGCACCAGUGCUCAGGGGUGAUACGUGGCCAUUGGAGCAGCUCCAUCGUACGUUCACCGUGAGAACACGUGAUGCUUCACUUACAUGUGACAGCCAAGGUCCCACCUGCUGUGGCAGGAGCAUGAACAUCACAGCCAGGGCAGCUACAGAUUCUCUUCCUCAUCUAGUGCCAUCACCAUCACUGAUAAUCAUCCUUCUGUGGCUGAUGCAUCGAGCGAAGAGCCAGCAGCUCCCAAUCUUGCAGAGACGUGCUGCGAAGCAACUGCACAGAAAUGAGACCGAACCCGUGUUGACGCCACAGGGGGCUGCAUCCCGUUGUUGCCUUUCAGAGGGAGCGGGGACAUCGGCAGCGCUGCCAGCGGCUCUCCGAUGGACAGCUAAUGGAAAACCUCCUUUUAAAAACCACUGAGGCCUAGCAAAUCGGGGUUAUUUUUGGAGAACAAAAAGCUUCAGCUCUACCCAUGCUCCCAAGGCUCGGCUCGGUGGCACGGCCGCCACGAAGACGUCCCCCAGGAUGUCUAAAUGCAGAGCUCUCGCUGCCCGGCUGUGCCACGGCCCUGCGGUCUCCACGUGGGGAAGGGGACAGACACCACACACCAAAGAAGAAACUACCGCUCUAUUGGAUACGUAGAAAAUGCUGACGGUUUAAUAAGCCCUGCGGCACGGGGCUCGUGCUGCCAGGGCUGGCUCGCUUGGCGUCACCUCCCCAGGGUUCCAGUUCCCUGUGUCAGGACAGCAUCGUUCGCUCCGAGUCCGAGAACCAAGCGGUGGGAAAGGAGGUGCCGAGCGGGGCCGGCGAGCUCCCAGCACAGCCGGGGCGCGCGAAGGCAUCGAGGGGAAAGGACAGAGAAAUAAAAACAGCAAAGAAAAAGGAGCGAGGGAACGGUUGCAGGGGAAACCCUCGCCAGCCACUCUCCGCCUAACCACACGGAUCUUUCCGAAAUGAGCAGCUCCAAGGGCUACACUCCUUUUCACUUACGUAUUCCUUAGCAGGUUUAUUUUCUUUAACAGUUUGCUUUCGUUUUCCUCCGUCCACGUCAGGCUGUGGAUGCCGCCAGGCAGGGAAAGGGAAGAGCAACGAAACCGGCUGCUGCAGCGUUCAGUGAGCGGGAGGCAGGGAGCGACGGGGAGCGGGCAGACGGAGCUGCAGAGCCCUGUACGGACACAAAUGUUUUGUCAGGGAAAGAAAUUAAUUAAAAUAAGCUGGGGGGGGGGGGGGCUCAUUUAAACUUCUCAGUCUGUGCUAACCACUGCCUGUUCCCCUCCCCACCCCCAGAUGUGGGAAUCAAAGGUGAAACCAGCCACUGAAAAUCAGAGUAACAUAAAAACAAGACAGCAGAAAUCACAUCAACCCCCCCAAUUUUUAUUUUAUUUUUUGUUUUUUUAAAUUCACCUUUCAUUUCUACUAGCAAGACAAGUAACCACAUACGACGUAACUAGAUUCUGCUCCCUCGUGCCCCCAGGCAGGCCGGCAUGACGAGGGCUGGUGGUGCUGUGCCGGGGGUCCCGCUCGGCUGUCGGCUCCCCCGAGCACGUCGUGCGUAACGGCUGUAGCGGUGUAGCUGCUCAAAUGAAGAAAAAAAAGAGCAACAUUACAAUAUUUCUAAAACCGAGCAUUUUCACAACAUCUUCUAGACGUGAUAUGAAGUUGGGAAGUGUCAUCUGUGGAAUAUACCUGUCGAUGCCGCCUGCUCUUCUGGGUGGCUUUUCUUCCUUAAAGCCCUACCUCUGUGUGUCCUUUCCGGCUGCUUUCAGGAAAAAUUCACCCUGUCAGAGUGUGUUGUGGUUUUUGUCUGCAACAGGACAUGCUACAGCAUGUGCAUAUGAAAUCUUUUUGCUUACAUACAAAUCCACAUAGAUAAAACGAGCUCUGCCACCAUCUGCUUUUAUGGGAAAUAUUUUCAAACUCACACACACUUUCCUUGUCUUAUCGAUGUCCUCGAGAGUUUCUCUGACAAAAAUCACAGGGUGUAUUUUUGCAUUUUUUUUUUACGUGCAAAUUAAUAACUUGGAUAACAUUGAAGUACCAGUUAAAAUAGAAGGGCACCAAAAUAUCAGCUUUGUAUUUCAAGCUCCAAAGACACCAUCCAUGCUGCGACUCCGUGUUGCUGUUGAAAUGCCAACAGAAACCCCUCAAGCAGCAUAUUCAGAAUGGCUGUUACGGGGAGGAAACGGCAAGUUUGGACAAGUCAAAGCUUACCUCUCCAAAAAAAAAUGUUACAACUUAGGACAGCGUUUUAAAAAUGACCCUUUUCUUCCAAACAAUCCGAGCUUUGAUGAACUGUUAUUUUACAACAGAGUAAAGAUUAGUCACGACUAAUCCCAGCUGGAUGGUUGGGUGCUGAGGAUCAGGAAAGGGGGGGCAGGCGCGCGGCAGCGGGCAGAACUGCGGCCCCCGCUCUGCCGGCUCCGCUGGGGAAAAGCUCUCGCUCCCAAAGCCUCUGUUCAGUCAUAAAGAAAAAUGAACCGUGACUCUCAUUGUAAAGCAUUUUAGUAUCUUCGCAUGGAAAGACCCUGCCUGUGCAUCGGGGCGGGCAUCUGCAAGGAGGGAGAGCACGUUUUAACACGGCAGGAAGAGGGCUGGGGACGGAGGCAAGCUGAGAAAAUGCCAGAAAGGGCCAAACCACAGUUGUUGUUUUAAUUUCGCUACGUGAGAAGGCCUAAAGCGGCUGUACCAAAGCGCUCUCCCGCACAUCUGCACCUGGACAACUUCCCACACUGGCUUACACCGUUCAUACUUGCAUUAUUCAUCAAUAUUAUCAGUUGGAAAGCCCUGUUUUUCAUUACUUUCAUUUUGAGAACGAAAGCUUGUCAUAUUAGAGUAGUUGGCUUUUUUCUUUAGCAAGAUUAUUUGCCAUUUCCUUCCCAGUAAUUUAUUUUCUACAUAAUUAAUGUUUAAUGAUUCUACACAUAUACAUUUUGCCAGAAAGCCAAAAGUGACUCUGACAAAACAAAUAAAUGUUCUGCAGCUUA
This is an RNA transcript of Tyto alba (common barn owl), 3959 nucleotides long. RefSeq lists it as uncharacterized. The record is from RefSeq and is a predicted model, not a curated record. NCBI's taxonomy places the organism in Eukaryota, Metazoa, Chordata, Aves, Strigiformes, Tytonidae. The transcript has 3 exons.